UUUUCUUUUCUUCUCUCUCCUCUUUCCCCCUCUCUCAGCCGAAACCCACCCCUUCUUCUUCUUCUUCUUCUUCUUCUUCUUCUUCUUCUUCGCCGCCCCUCGCCGCUUCACCCCUUCUUCUCCUCUUCUUCUUCUUCUUCUUCGCCGCCCCUCGCCGCUUCACCCACCACCACAUCGCCGCCCCACGCCCUACUCACCACCAUCUCUUGGCCACUGAACCACCACCACCCACCGCUCGUCCGACGAGCCGUCUCGCCAUUGAGCCCGACAAGCUAUCGUGCCGUCCGCGCCGCCCCUCGCCGCCGUGAGCCGCCACCGCCGUCCCCAAGCCACCGUCACCACCUCUUGCCGCCGCUCGCUCGGCCGUUCGGGCCGUCGUUGCUCCGAACCGCCACCGCCAGAACUGAGCUCUUCCCCCCUUGGCCGUGGGUUGAGCCGCGACUGCCGCCGUCUUCGCCGCGCCGUCCGUGCCGCCGUUGGUGCCAUGAGACUCUUGUCUUCGUCGCCGGACCUCCCUCAACACCGCCGCUGGAUGCGUCACCCCUCGCUUGCCUCACCACUCAGCCGCUUGCCGUCGACGCCGCUCGUCCCCCAGGUGGAGGCUACUCGCUCGCCAGCCCCUCGACGCAGCUCGCUACUCGCCCAGCCGCCCAAUCAACCUUAACUCCACACCCCUUCGCCUCUGCCCCAACGAAGCUGCUCUGCUACGGGCUGCGGUCGGCGGCAAAGCUAAAGGAGGAGAAGCAGGAGGUGGCGGCGGCGAGCUCUUCUUCGUCUCGGAGGUUGGUUUCGCCUCGACCUCCUCUCCUUUGCCUGUUCGUGGCUUUGACGGUUUUUCUGUUCCUUAGCCGGUAGUUUAGGGUUUCCGUGUGUACGUGUGAGUGAGUGAUUUUCGAGAAUCGGACCAAGUCGAGCACGCGUUCGUCACGUGCGAAGAUCAAGCUAUCGUUUGCUUUUGCUUAUUUCGAUUAGGAUGUACAAUUCGUGUCGGUUUGUGCAAGGGCAUAGAGAAUUUGAUCUUUGUG
RNAcentral lists this long non-coding RNA (1025 nucleotides) under Eucalyptus grandis. Its description in RNAcentral is "long non-coding RNA (EGRA_LNC002857)". Lineage: Eukaryota; Viridiplantae; Streptophyta; Magnoliopsida; Myrtales; Myrtaceae. The record is from RNAcentral.